RNAcentral lists this non-coding RNA (45 nucleotides) under Schistosoma margrebowiei. The record is from RNAcentral. Lineage: Eukaryota; Metazoa; Platyhelminthes; Trematoda; Strigeidida; Schistosomatidae.
AUUCAACUGAUGAGUCCCAAGAAGGACGAAAUGCGCGUCCUGAAU